AUUUAUAUAGUUUAAAUAUUAAAAACUUUACAUUUUCAUUGUAAAAUAAAAAAAUUUUUUUAUAAAUA
This 68-nucleotide transfer RNA is filed under the name Colobochyla salicalis. RNAcentral's name for it is "tRNA-Glu". Lineage: Eukaryota; Metazoa; Arthropoda; Insecta; Lepidoptera; Erebidae. The record is from RNAcentral.